UACGGAGGGUGCAAACGUUGCUCGGAAUCAUUGGGCGUAAAGCGCACGUAGGCGGCCUGUUAAGUCGGAUGUGAAAGCCCAAGGCUCAACCUUGGAAGUGCAUUCGAAACUGGCGGGCUUGAAUAUGGACGAGGGUCGCGGAAUUCCCGGUGUAGAGGUGAAAUUCGUAGAUAUCGGGAGGAACACCAGUGGCGAAGGCGGCGACCUGGGCCAAUAUUGACGCUAAGGUGCGAAAGCGUGGGGAGCAAACAGG
RNAcentral lists this ribosomal RNA (253 nucleotides) under uncultured bacterium. RNAcentral describes it as "partial 16S ribosomal RNA". It matches the Rfam family "Bacterial small subunit ribosomal RNA", at positions 524 to 776 of the family's 1533-position model. The record is from RNAcentral.